GACGAACGCUGGCGGCGUGCUUAACACAUGCAAGUCGAACGGAAAGGCCCUGCUUUUGUGGGGUGCUCGAGUGGCGAACGGGUGAGUAACACGUGAGUAACCUGCCCUUGACUUUGGGAUAACUUCAGGAAACUGGGGCUAAUACCGGAUCGGAGCUCCUGCUGCAUUGUGGGGGUUGGAAAGUUUCGGCGGUUGGGGAUGGACUCGCGGCUUAUCGGCUUGUUGGUGGGGUAGUGGCUUACCAAGGCUUUGACGGGUAGCCGGCCUGAGAGGGUGAUCGGCCGCACUGGAACGGGGACACGGACCAGACGGCUACGGGAGGCAGCAGAGGGGAAUAGUGGACAAUGGGCGCAAGCCUGAUCCAGCCGGACCGCGUGGGUGAAGAAGGCCUUCGGGUUGUGAAGCCCGUUUGUUGGGGAAGAAAAGCAGCAGGUUAAUACCCCGCUGUUCUGACGGUACACAAAGAAUAAGCACCGGCUAACUUCGUG
RNAcentral lists this ribosomal RNA (488 nucleotides) under uncultured bacterium. Its description in RNAcentral is "partial 16S ribosomal RNA". It matches the Rfam family "Bacterial small subunit ribosomal RNA", at positions 28 to 507 of the family's 1533-position model. The record is from RNAcentral.